Molecule: long non-coding RNA, 1051 nt
Organism: Apis dorsata (giant honeybee)
Lineage: Eukaryota; Metazoa; Arthropoda; Insecta; Hymenoptera; Apidae
Exons: 3
Source: RefSeq, a predicted model, not a curated record
AUGCUUAUAUUCAAAUAUACUCUCUAUUCAAAUGUAUAUAAAAGCAAGAUAGAUUAGUAUUAAUCGACCACGGAAUGGUUAUAAUACUACUAUAUAGAAAAGAAUGGAAGAGAAAGAGAGAAAUCUUCCGCGGAAUCCCACGAAUAUCGAUUUAACGCAGGACGAUCUUUCGUAUCUCCGUUAAAACGGCUCGUUCACGGACUUAUCGAAGCCGGUUUAUGAGGCGUCCGAAUCGAAUUUUUCCGGCAACGACGGCGCAUAAUCAUUACAUCGGACGCCGGUUUAACCAGUCUCGAUAACAUCUUUCCCAUGCUAAAUAUACCACGGUGCCGGCUAAAUCCGUAUCGUGGAUUCGCGGUAUUAAAUCGUGCGGUUGCGCCGGUCGCAAAAACCGGGUCUCUUUCGGUUUUUGAGCAAUGACCGCGUUGCAAUUCAUUUCGAGGUCUUGUUAAACUCGCCACGACAUCAUAAAUUCUCCACCGGAUACGUUAUCUCGUAAUUGUUUCGUUAGAUGUUAAUUACCGGUAGAUUUAAGGCGUUGUAAACGUAAAUGUAAGCUAAUGUAAAUCAUUAAUUCUAACUUUGAAUAUCUUCUUAAAAAAAUAAUCAUUUUCUUGCGAUAAUUUAAGCGAAACCGACGAUUGAAAUUUCCGCCAUUAAUUAUAGAUGGCUCGCGAUUUUGCGCGUUUCGCAUUGCGCACUGUGGCGAACUGAUUCUCUUGCGCAGACGCCUGUCAGCUUGCUUUCUUCGUCGUGAAAUUGCCGCCGAACGUAACGUGUGAAAGAUUAAUGUGUUCGUGAAUAGCGGAAUGAAUUAGCUGUGCAAGAUUAAUCGCAGCCGAGCUGGGACGAUGAAUUAUCCGCGAUUCGAAAAAUCAAUAAGAGAGGAUCAUUGAACUCGAAGGAACUCGGGGAGCGACAGAAUUCGAGACACGAUAAGACAAUAUGAAUUUCGCGCGAUUCCGAGUCGGUCGAAACUUUGCACGGGCGAUCCUUCGUGAAACGUUGUAUAAAAGUCCGAUUGAUUUAUGCGAUCGCGGCGCCUUCCUUU